GGGAGACCCAGAGUCUUCUGAUAACAGUGCCAUAAAUGACAUAGGGCGUACAUUUAAAAUUGAAUUUUCAACCUGAAGCUUGAAUACGUGGUCUCAAUGCCAGCAGCAAAAUGAAAUGUCACUUCUGGGGCCUGGUUUGCCUCCCUAAACGUCAGCUGCAAGGGAGUGUUUUACUUCACGCAUUAGAGUGUUCCGGUUUACAGGGGGCCGUUGUUUUAUACUGAGUUCCUGUCACUAGGCCCCACCUGGGCAGACUAGGCAGAUUGAAGUCACCUGUGCCAGGUGCCAGGUCACCAAACUGAGCUUAAAAUAGUAUAGAAUGGACAUUCUAGAAGUGCAGAUUAGAUCUAAGAUGAAGAACCCAAUGGUUGGCCUUAAUAACUUGUUGAACACAGAAAGGGACAGGACUAAUAAGCCGGAAGACAGAUCAAUAGAAGAUAUCCAUGUUGAAGCAUGGAGAGGAAUUUGGAGAAAAACGUACACGUUCCAUGAAAAACCCAAAUUCCCAAAGCUGACAAAAUAAUACUGAAAAAAUACAAAUAGCUUGAUUCCCAGGGGCCUGAGGGAGUGGAGGGCCCCCACUCCUGGGUGUCAAAUCAAGUGUGGCCUAAAGCUGCCUCCUUACAUAUUUUAAGUUCGGCCUAGAGGUUUCUCUGUACGUGGUGAGCUAUAACCUAAGCGGAGUUGUACACAGACUGUAGCCUAUACUUGCGCCAAUCACCGAGAUUUGGCCACUCAGACGUAGCCGGUUGUUUGAACCCUGUUAAAACUACCUCCACUUAAUGAAUGGUGAAUGUACUUUCUCUUCCUUAUGGUUUCCUGAAUAUCAUUUUCUUUUCUCCACCUUCCUUCUUUGGGAGAAUACAGUAGAUAAUGCAUAGAACAUAGAAAAUAUGUCUUCAUCAGCUUUUUAUGUUGUCAGUAAGACUUUGGUCAACAGUAGGCUAUUCAUAGUUACAUUUUGGGGAAACAAAAAGUUAUAUGUGGAUUUUCAACUGUGUGAAGGCUCAGCACCCCUAAGCCCCAAGUUAUUCAAGGGUCAACAGUAUAAUUAUCAUCCCAAGAGUUUUUGGAAGUUUCACAACUUUAGCCUAUCUGAUAUCUGUGGAGCCCCUCUGUUCCAGACUGGAGCUCUAGAUAUUGUGGGGGAGAAAGUGUGCUCUUUGUUAUUUUAUAAAAGGUACUCAGAGAAGAUCUCAUGCAAAAGAUGUUAUUGGGGUUGAAACCUCAAAGGAUGCCAGCAUGGAUUCAGGAAAAGAUGGUGCCCAGAAGAAGAAAUGACAAGUGAGAGGGCCUGAGAAGGAAAUGUGCCCAAGGAACAGAAAUGGGGGUGUUGCCAUGGCACAGAGUGGGAAGGGAGCCUCAGAGGCCACGAAGACCACACUGGGGCCUCUGCUGUUACUCUGAGUCACACAGGAAGCCAUGGGCCGGGAUGUAAAGAAAAGGCAUCUUUAUAAACACUCACUUCCAUCUCUUCACUCAUCCUUAAAAUAUUUUAUCUUUGCCUUUGAAAAACCCUUU
This 1521-nucleotide long non-coding RNA is filed under the name Homo sapiens (human). RNAcentral describes it as "non-protein coding lnc-TMEM18-17:1". Lineage: Eukaryota; Metazoa; Chordata; Mammalia; Primates; Hominidae. The record is from RNAcentral.